Molecule: ribosomal RNA, 400 nt
Filed under: uncultured Allobrachymonas sp.
Lineage: Bacteria; Pseudomonadati; Pseudomonadota; Betaproteobacteria; Burkholderiales; Comamonadaceae
Description: bacterial SSU rRNA
Rfam family: Bacterial small subunit ribosomal RNA
Source: RNAcentral
ACCUUUGACAUGGCAGGAAUCCUGAAGAGAUUGGGAGUGCUCGAAAGAGAACCUGCACACAGGUGCUGCAUGGCUGUCGUCAGCUCGUGUCGUGAGAUGUUGGGUUAAGUCCCGCAACGAGCGCAACCCUUGCCAUUAGUUGCUACGAAAGGGCACUCUAAUGGGACUGCCGGUGACAAACCGGAGGAAGGUGGGGAUGACGUCAAGUCCUCAUGGCCCUUAUAGGUGGGGCUACACACGUCAUACAAUGGCCGGUACAGAGGGUAGCCAACCCGCGAGGGGGAGCCAAUCCCACAAAGCCGGUCGUAGUCCGGAUCGCAGUCUGCAACUCGACUGCGUGAAGUCGGAAUCGCUAGUAAUCGCGGAUCAGCAUGUCGCGGUGAAUACGUUCCCGGGUCUU